This 717-nucleotide ribosomal RNA is filed under the name Gordonia sp. VO28-3. Its description in RNAcentral is "bacterial SSU rRNA". It matches the Rfam family "Bacterial small subunit ribosomal RNA", at positions 22 to 751 of the family's 1533-position model. The record is from RNAcentral. Lineage: Bacteria; Bacillati; Actinomycetota; Actinomycetes; Mycobacteriales; Gordoniaceae.
GCUCAGGACGAACGCUGGCGGCGUGCUUAACACAUGCAAGUCGAACGGAAAGGCCCAGCUUGCUGGGUGCUCGAGUGGCGAACGGGUGAGUAACACGUGGGUGAUCUGCCCCUGACUUUGGGAUAAGCCUGGGAAACUGGGUCUAAUACCGGAUAUGACCUUCUCUCGCAUGGGAGUUGGUGGAAAGCCUUGUGCGGUUGGGGAUGGGCCCGCGGCCUAUCAGCUUGUUGGUGGGGUAAUGGCCUACCAAGGCGACGACGGGUAGCCGACCUGAGAGGGUGAUCGGCCACACUGGGACUGAGACACGGCCCAGACUCCUACGGGAGGCAGCAGUGGGGAAUAUUGCACAAUGGGCGCAAGCCUGAUGCAGCGACGCCGCGUGAGGGAUGACGGCCUUCGGGUUGUAAACCUCUUUCACCAGGGACGAAGCGCAAGUGACGGUACCUGGAGAAGAAGCACCGGCCAACUACGUGCCAGCAGCCGCGGUAAUACGUAGGGUGCGAGCGUUGUCCGGAAUUACUGGGCGUAAAGAGCUCGUAGGCGGUUUGUCGCGUCGUCUGUGAAAUUCUGCAGCUUAACUGCAGGCGUGCAGGCGAUACGGGCAGACUUGAGUACUACAGGGGAGACUGGAAUUCCUGGUGUAGCGGUGAAAUGCGCAGAUAUCAGGAGGAACACCGGUGGCGAAGGCGGGUCUCUGGGUAGUAACUGACGCUGAGA